RNAcentral lists this ribosomal RNA (519 nucleotides) under Streptomyces pratensis. Its description in RNAcentral is "bacterial SSU rRNA". It matches the Rfam family "Bacterial small subunit ribosomal RNA", at positions 119 to 652 of the family's 1533-position model. The record is from RNAcentral. Lineage: Bacteria; Bacillati; Actinomycetota; Actinomycetes; Kitasatosporales; Streptomycetaceae.
GGGCAAUCUGCCCUUCACUCUGGGACAAGCCCUGGAAACGGGGUCUAAUACCGGAUAACACUCUGUCCCGCAUGGGACGGGGUUAAAAGCUCCGGCGGUGAAGGAUGAGCCCGCGGCCUAUCAGCUUGUUGGUGGGGUAAUGGCCUACCAAGGCGACGACGGGUAGCCGGCCUGAGAGGGCGACCGGCCACACUGGGACUGAGACACGGCCCAGACUCCUACGGGAGGCAGCAGUGGGGAAUAUUGCACAAUGGGCGAAAGCCUGAUGCAGCGACGCCGCGUGAGGGAUGACGGCCUUCGGGUUGUAAACCUCUUUCAGCAGGGAAGAAGCGAAAGUGACGGUACCUGCAGAAGAAGCGCCGGCUAACUACGUGCCAGCAGCCGCGGUAAUACGUAGGGCGCAAGCGUUGUCCGGAAUUAUUGGGCGUAAAGAGCUCGUAGGCGGCUUGUCACGUCGGAUGUGAAAGCCCGGGGCUUAACCCCGGGUCUGCAUUCGAUACGGGCUAGCUAGAGUGUGGU